This 274-nucleotide ribosomal RNA is filed under the name uncultured bacterium. RNAcentral's name for it is "partial 16S ribosomal RNA". It matches the Rfam family "Bacterial small subunit ribosomal RNA", at positions 523 to 796 of the family's 1533-position model. The record is from RNAcentral.
CUACGGAGGGUGCAAGCGUUACUCGGAAUUACUGGGCGUAAAGGACGCGUAGGCGGUUUAGAAAGUCAGAUGUGAAAGCCUAUGGCGUAACCAUAGAACUGCAUCUGAAACUCCUAGACUAGAGUGAGGGAGAGGUCAGUGGAAUUAGUGGUGUAGGGGUAAAAUCCGUAGAGAUCACUAGGAAUACUCAUAGCGAAGGCGACUGACUGGAACUUUACUGACGCUGAGGCGUGAAAGCGUGCGGAGCAAACAGGAUUAGAAACCCCAGUAGUCC